GACGGUACUUGAGGAAUGAGCCACGGCUAAUUCCGUGCCAGCAGCCGCGGUAAUACGGGAGUGGCAAGCGUUAUCCGGAAUUAUUGGGCGUAAAGCGUCCGCAGGCGGCCCUGUAAGUCUGUCGUUAAAGCGUGGAGCUUAACUCCAUUUCAGCGAUGGAAACUACCGGGCUUGAGUGUGGUAGGGGCAGAGGGAAUUCCCGGUGUAGCGGUGAAAUGCGUACAUAUCGGGAAGAACACCAGUGGCGAAGGCGCUCUGCUGGGCCAUAACUGACGCUCAUGGACGAAAGCCAGGGGAGCGAAAGGGAUUAGAUACCCCUGUAGUCCUGGCCGUAAACGAUGAACACUAGGUGUCGGGGGAAUCGACCCCCUCGGUGUCGUAGCCAACGCGUUAAGUGUUCCGCCUGGGGAGUACGCACGCAAGUGUGAAACUC
This 433-nucleotide ribosomal RNA is filed under the name uncultured bacterium. RNAcentral describes it as "bacterial SSU rRNA". It matches the Rfam family "Bacterial small subunit ribosomal RNA", at positions 471 to 902 of the family's 1533-position model. The record is from RNAcentral.